GUUGUGACUGAAUGGAGUACUUUCCACAGCCUCUUCCUUGGAAAAUUUCCCUGUGUGCUGGGCUCAGUGGAGAAUGCAAGCUACGGAAUCAGGUCAUGUAUCACCCACAGAGAAAACCACAAGGUGAACCCACAGCAAAGCUGGCCACUCCUUAGAGCUUGCAGGUGCUGAGAUGACCUGGGCUCUUCUCCAGCCUCCGGAUUCCAGGAUCCAUGACAGCUGACAUCAUGAGGACCACAUCCCUUUGCCACUGCUGGCGGCUCAGACUGCCCUCAGAUGUUGCCCCCACCUUCUCUGGUCUUCACUGUGGCUCUGAAGGGGAUGCUGCACAUGAAGCACUCUCAUCCCAGGGGUGGCAGUGUUCUGUCAUGCCCAUAGACCAUCAGCAGCUUCCUCUGGCCUCAUCCACAGCUCUGUUUUAUAGGGGUCAAAGGAGCAGGUGAUGUGUUUAAUCACACAUUCUGUGUAAGAAAGAGGACUACUCUGUGCUGAACUUGGGACCUGGGAAAUACACAGUCACCCCAGACACAGAGUAGUCCUUCGGCCUGGCCAGCUGCUUCCAAAGAGAAAACCCUUAGCCCCUCAUGCAGCCCUUGCAGCUGUCUCAAGUCCCUUCCAGCUCCCAGCCACAGGGAACAAAUCAAAAUGAACUUGAACCAGACUUUUCCUCAACUUGUAUU
Choloepus didactylus (southern two-toed sloth) is the source of this 680-nucleotide long non-coding RNA. RefSeq lists it as uncharacterized. The transcript is spliced from 3 exons. Lineage: Eukaryota; Metazoa; Chordata; Mammalia; Pilosa; Megalonychidae. The record is from RefSeq and is a predicted model, not a curated record.